CCCUGCUUGAUGUGAAUUUAAUGCCGACAACAGCAUCAAUAUUGCACCUGCUCUCUUGUAAGCUGAAAAGACGCAGUUAUGCACAGUGAAACAUAAUGGAACAGUUUGCUCUCUUUUGUGGUUUUUGGCGGUUUGUAUACGAUUGGUUCUGUCCACGUAUCGCUUCUCAAUUGCCUCCGGACAGGAUUUUGUCGUACCCGAGUCC
RNAcentral lists this long non-coding RNA (205 nucleotides) under Elaeis guineensis (African oil palm). Its description in RNAcentral is "long non-coding RNA (EGUI_LNC018531)". The record is from RNAcentral. Lineage: Eukaryota; Viridiplantae; Streptophyta; Magnoliopsida; Arecales; Arecaceae.